RNAcentral lists this transfer RNA (84 nucleotides) under bacterium. RNAcentral describes it as "tRNA-Leu". It matches the Rfam family "tRNA". Rfam says of the family: Transfer RNA (tRNA) molecules are approximately 80 nucleotides in length. Their secondary structure includes four short double-helical elements and three loops (D, anti-codon, and T loops). The record is from RNAcentral.
GCGGACGUGACGGAAUUGGAAUACGUGUAGCGUUCAGAACGCUAUGCCAGAAAUGGCUUGUGGGUUCAAGUCCCACCGUCCGCA